This 2642-nucleotide long non-coding RNA is filed under the name Podarcis lilfordi (Lilford's wall lizard). The record is from RNAcentral. Lineage: Eukaryota; Metazoa; Chordata; Lepidosauria; Squamata; Lacertidae.
AAUAUCUGCACCGGAAAUCCAGCUCAGAGACAAACCAAUCAUGCAGACCAUCUGCUUGGUCCAGACAGAUAAUGCCACUUUCAUUGUUCCCAUAAGCUGGUAAGCAGCUUUUUUUAACAAGACGAAACCUUUAGGCUGGGAAAUUUUGAUGUAGGAGGCUUGCAUAUCCUGUUCCGGCUGGCUAGAUGUUGAUUUACGCAUUAUACAGAACCGAGACUGCUGAAUUAUGAAAUAAGCCAUUUUAUAUUUUGUGCAUGUGCGUUUUCAGGGGCAGUGUGUGGACACGUAGUGUUGUGUUUUUCGGAUCAAAACAGAUCGGCUUUUACAAUACCGGACAGCAAAGAAUGACUCGAGCGAAUUAGGUCAGUUCAAUGCCAUCAUUAUUUAUUUUAUUAUAAUAACAUUUAUGAGUCACCUCCCGCAAAAUAUUAGGGCACUGUGCAGCAACAUACAAAAAAACCCCUCCAAAAUGAUACAGAAUAAUCAUUGAAUUGACCAGCUGCUCAAAGGACCUUUUAGACAACGGCACAGCCCAUCCUAUACUUUUAAACCACAUUGAAAGCACACACACCCCACAAGAAUCCUGGGAACUGUAGUUUGUUAAGGGUGCUGGGAAUCGUAGCUCUGUGACAGGUAAAUUAGUUCCCAGAAUUCUUUGGGGGAAGCUAUGCAGUUUCAAACGAUGGGUGGGUGUAGCAUAUAAACACGUGAAGAUGCUCCCAGAAUCACAUGCUUAACACAAAAUCCAGCCAGCCCUCAGGGCAGUGGGUAUUAGAGGACUCUGUGCAGGAGACAGGCCUGUAAGAGUGCCAGCCUAGUGUUGUCUUCGCCUGCCUCUUGUUGGAAGUGCAACAGCAGAGAUCAUUCAGUUUGUAACCUAAGGGGUUAAAUCUGUUCUCAGUGUUAGUCUAUUACCCAAGCCUUGUGUGUCGUGGUGUUGCUUAGCAACCUGCCAAAGUGGCAUGAUAUUUGCUGAGGUAGCAUGGGCUCUGAUUGGCUGUGUAGUUCUGAGGGAGUUUUGUAGCUCUAUGAUGCGCUGAAUGUCUCUCUGCUAUGUACAAGGCCCAAAGGAAGAAAGACAAAGCCUUUCUCUUCAAAUUAUAUGUUUUUUUCCAGUUUCACUCAGUAAUGUCUUAUCAGGAUUUUUCUCAGUGGACUCUGCCUGCAUUACUUAAACUGGGUUUGCUAACAUGUUCAAGGGGCAUGUCCUGUGUAGGAGAGGCAUCCCAGCCAGAUGGGCGGGGUAUAAAUAAUAAAAUUAUUUUCUGAGCAGUUAUGUACUGAGACUUUUCAUGGCUGCCAAAGGAAGCGCUGGUGGUCCUUUGGCACCUGUGGGCACCAUGUUGGGAACCCUGAGGGAAGAGAUGGCAAUGUGUUCAAGGUCAACCAGUGAGCUCAAUGGCCAAGCAGGGAUACCCAAACCUCUCCACUCCUAGCCCAGUGUUAGAAUAACUAUGCCACACUGGCUUUAUUGAGCGCAGUGCAGGGGUAGUUUUGAGGAAGCCCAUUGACUUCUGUGCUGGAUGGCGACCUCUCGUUUUCCCUCCACCCAUCAGAGAUUCCUCUUGUCUAUCAGCAGGAAGCAAUCCGGUUUUAAUUUCCCAGUAGGAUUGCGGUGAUGAGAGAUAAUUUUGGAGCCGAUAAAGUCCUAAGAAUCUACAGGCGUUUCAACAAGGCUUGUCCCUGCCAGGAAUCCCAAGCCCUUCCUGUGCUCUUGGCAGGGCGCCAGACUCCAGACAGCAAGCCCAGGCCUUCUAACAAACAGUGGGCAGUUAUUUAGGCAUUUAAACGGCGCUUCUUUAGAUGCAGGUUUGCACUUCAAUCAAAAGGGACGCGGGUGGCGCUGUGGGUUAAACCACAGAGCCUAGGACUUGCCGAUCAGAAGGUCGGCGGUUCAAAUCCCAUUGCUCGGUCCCUGCUCCUGCCAACCUAGCAGUUCGAAAGCACGUCAAGUGCAAGUAGAUAAAUAGGUACCGCUCCAGCGGGAAGGUAAACGGCGUUUCCGUGCACUGCUCUGGUUCGCCAGAAGCAGCUGAGUCAUGCUGGCCACAUGACCCGGAAGCUGUACACCAACUCCCUCGGCCAAUAAAGCGAGAUGAGAACCGCAACCCCAGAGUCGGCCACGACUGGACCUAAUGGUCAGAGGUACCUUUACAUUUACCUUUGCACUUCGAUCACAACGCCAGCAGCAAUGUAAGGGCAUCAGAUUCCAUAAGUGUGUGCAUAAGAAGCUUUCACCAACCUACUGCCUUUCAGAUAUUUUGGACUACAAUUCCCAUCAGCCCCCAGCUGAAGGGAGUUGUUGUCCAAAACUUCUAGAGGCCAGCAGGUUAGCAAUGGCUGGUGUGCAGCUUUGCAUAGGAAGAUGCCUUAUCUAAAUCAAACUAUUGCUCUGUUUACUUCAGGAUUUUCUUCACUGGUUGCUUUCCAGGGGUUUCAUACCAGAAUGUGCAAUUCAUCCAGCCCAGACACUGAGGUCCAGCGCUGAGGGCCUUCUGGCGGUUCCCUCGCUGCGAGAAGUGAGGUUACAGGGAACCAGGCAGAGGGCCUUCUCGGUAGUGGUGCCUGCCCUGUGAAACGCCCUCCCAGCAGAUGUCAAGACAAUAAACAACUAUUUUUCUUUAAAAUACAACUGAAGGCGG